UGGCGAACGGGUGAGUAACGCGUAGACAACCUACCUUCUAGAUGGGGACAACACUGCGAAAGUGGUGCUAAUACCGAAUGUUGUAUUUUAGAUGCAUAUUUAAGAUACUAAAGGUGGCCUCUAUUUAUAAGCUACCACUAGAAGAUGGGUCUGCGUCUGAUUAGCUAGUUGGUGAGGUAAUGGCUCACCAAGGCGACGAUCAGUAGCCGGUCUGAGAGGAUGAACGGCCACACUGGGACUGANACACGGCCCAGACUCCUACGGGAGGCAGCAGUGGGGAAUCUUCCGCAAUGGACGAAAGUCUGACGGAGCAACGCCGCGUGAGUGAAGAAGGUUUUCGGAUCGUAAAACUCUGUUUUCAGGGACGAAUGUGCGAUAUGUGAAUAAUGUGUUGUAAUGACGGUACCUGACAAGAAAGCCACGGCUAACUACGUGCCAGCAGCCGCGGUAAUACGUAGGUGGCAAGCGUUGUCCGGAAUUAUUGGGCGUAAAGCGCGCGCAGGUGGGAUAAUAAGUCUGAUGUUAAAGUUCGGGGCUCAACCCCGUGAAGCAUUUGGAUACUGUUAUUCUUGAGUGCAGGAGAGGAAAGUGGAAUUCCUAGUGUAGCGGUGAAAUGCGUAGAUAUUAGGAGGAACACCAGUGGCGAAGGCGACUUUCUGGACUGUGUCUGACACUGAGGCGCGAAAGCCAGGGUAGUGAACGGGAUUAGAUACCCCGGUAAUCCUGGCCGUAAACGAUGGGUACU
RNAcentral lists this ribosomal RNA (745 nucleotides) under Pelosinus sp. 785. Its description in RNAcentral is "bacterial SSU rRNA". It matches the Rfam family "Bacterial small subunit ribosomal RNA", at positions 96 to 817 of the family's 1533-position model. The record is from RNAcentral. Lineage: Bacteria; Bacillati; Bacillota; Negativicutes; Selenomonadales; Sporomusaceae.